GUGCCAGCCGCCGCGGUAAUACGAAGGGGGUUAGCGUUGCUCGGAAUCACUGGGCGUAAAGCUCACGUAGGCGGAUUGUUAAGUCAGGGGUGAAAUCCUGGAGCUCAACUCCAGAACUGCCUUUGAUACCGGCAAUCUCGAGUCCGGGAGAGGUGAGUGGAACUGCGAGUGUAGAGGUGAAAUUCGUAGAUAUUCGCAAGAACACCAGUGGCGAAGGCGGCUCACUGGCCCGAUACUGACGCUGAGGCACGAAAGCGUGGGGAGCAAACAGGAUUAGAUACCCUAGUAGUCC
Molecule: ribosomal RNA, 292 nt
Filed under: uncultured bacterium
Lineage: Bacteria
Description: partial 16S ribosomal RNA
Rfam family: Bacterial small subunit ribosomal RNA
Source: RNAcentral